Molecule: ribosomal RNA, 438 nt
Filed under: uncultured bacterium
Lineage: Bacteria
Description: partial 16S ribosomal RNA
Rfam family: Bacterial small subunit ribosomal RNA
Source: RNAcentral
CCUACGGGUGGCAGCAGUGAGGAAUAUUGCACAAUGGGCGAAAGCCUGAUGCAGCAACGCCGCGUGAGCGAUGAAGGCCUUCGGGUCGUAAAGCUCUGUCCUCAAGGAAGAUAAUGACGGUACUUGAGGAGGAAGCCCCGGCCAACUACGUGCCAGCAGCCGCGGUAAUACGUAGGGGGCUAGCGUUAUCCGGAAUUACUGGGCGUAAAGGGGGCGUAGGUGGUUUCUUAAGUCAGGGGUGAAGGGCUACGGCUCAACCGUAGUAAGCCUUUGAAACGGGGGAACUUGGGUGGAGGGGAGGAGAGUGGAAUUCCUGGUGUGGCGGUGAAAUGCGUGGAUAUUAGGAGGAACACCAGUUGCGAGGGCGGCUCUCUGGACUGUAACUGACACUGAGUCACGAAAGCGUGGGGAGCAAACAGGAUUAGAUACCCCUGUAUC